Molecule: small nucleolar RNA, 208 nt
Filed under: Scleropages formosus (Asian bonytongue)
Lineage: Eukaryota; Metazoa; Chordata; Actinopteri; Osteoglossiformes; Osteoglossidae
Description: Small nucleolar RNA SNORA74
Rfam family: Small nucleolar RNA SNORA74
About the family: U19 belongs to the H/ACA class of snoRNAs. snoRNAs bind a number of proteins (including dyskerin, Gar1p and Nop10p in the case of the H/ACA class) to form snoRNP complexes.
Source: Rfam by way of RNAcentral
CUCAGCGGCAGUCAGCUGUGCAGGCCUGUACCGUGCCUGAACCAGUCAGUGUUACUCUGCUGGGAGAGGAAGGGGCUGCCGCUGAUGCCUGGCUCUGGGAGACACUGUCCUAGUGGCUGCCGAUGCCAGGCUGUGGCAGCGCCGCGUCCCUCUGAGAGUGGGCCGCGUCCGCGCACGCUGGGGCGGCCCUAGUCUGGGGGCAAACAUU